This 305-nucleotide ribosomal RNA is filed under the name uncultured bacterium. RNAcentral describes it as "bacterial SSU rRNA". It matches the Rfam family "Bacterial small subunit ribosomal RNA", at positions 334 to 631 of the family's 1533-position model. The record is from RNAcentral.
GGUUCCUACGGGGCGCAGCAGUAGGGAAUCUUCCACAAUGGGCGGAAGCCUGAUGGAGCAACGCCGCGUGGGUGAAGAAGGUCUUCGGAUCGUAAAACCCUGUUGUUAGAGAAGAAAGUGCGUGAGAGUAACUGUUCACGUUUCGACGGUAUCUAACCAGAAAGCCACGGCUAACUACGUGCCAGCAGCCGCAGUAAUACGUAGGUGGCAAGCGUUAUCCGGAUUUAUUGGGCGUAAAGGGAACGCAGGCGGUCUUUUAAGUCUGAUGUGAAAGCCUUUGGCUUAACCGGAGUAGGUCAUUGGAA